This 575-nucleotide ribosomal RNA is filed under the name uncultured bacterium. RNAcentral describes it as "partial 16S ribosomal RNA". It matches the Rfam family "Bacterial small subunit ribosomal RNA", at positions 355 to 922 of the family's 1533-position model. The record is from RNAcentral.
UGGGGAAUAUUGCACAAUGGGCGCAAGCCUGAUGCAGCCAUGCCGCGUGUGUGAAGAAGGCCUUCGGGUUGUAAAGCACUUUCAGCGAGGAGGAAGGUGGUGAGCUUAAUACGCUCAUCAAUUGACGUUACUCGCAGAAGAAGCACCGGCUAACUCCGUGCCAGCAGCCGCGGUAAUACGGAGGGUGCAAGCGUUAAUCGGAAUUACUGGGCGUAAAGCGCACGCAGGCGGUUUGUUAAGUCAGAUGUGAAAUCCCCGGGCUCAACCUGGGAACUGCAUUUGAAACUGGCAAGCUAGAGUCUCGUAGAGGGGGGUAGAAUUCCAGGUGUAGCGGUGAAAUGCGUAGAGAUCUGGAGGAAUACCGGUGGCGAAGGCGGCCCCCUGGACGAAGACUGACGCUCAGGUGCGAAAGCGUGGGGCAGCAAACAGGAUUAGAUACCCUGGUAGUCCACGCUGUAAACGAUGUCGAUUUGGAGGUUGUGCCCUUGAGGCGUGGCUUCCGGAGCUAACGCGUUAAAUCGACCGCCUGGGGGGUACGGCCGCAAGUUAAAACUCAAAGGAAUUGACGGGGUCUA